This 833-nucleotide long non-coding RNA is filed under the name Vulpes vulpes (red fox). RNAcentral describes it as "lncRNA (ENSVVUG00000018027.1)". Lineage: Eukaryota; Metazoa; Chordata; Mammalia; Carnivora; Canidae. The record is from RNAcentral.
CUUCACCCUGUGUCCUUACAUGGCCUUCUCUUUGUGCAAGUGGCCUUGGUAUCUCUUUCUUUUCUUAUAGGACAUCAGUCACAUUGGGUUAGGGCUCUAUUCUUAUGACCUCUCUGAGUCUUAAUUACUUGCCUAAAGCCCUAUUUCCAUAUACAGUUAUAAUUAGGGGGUAGGGCUUCGAUAUAUGAAUUUGGGGAGGACAUAAUACAGUAAUAAUGGAUAUCAAAGGAUAAUCUUUUAGGAUACUCCCUUUCUAAUCAGAGUGUGAUAUGCUGAAGUAGAAAUAAACUGGUAAGUAAGCAUAACAUAAUGGUUUUAUUGUCAGAUUGGUCAAUACUAGUUUGGCAUUUAAUACCUGACUCUCCCUAUCAUUAUUACUGACUGUGUUGGGUCUGAUUGAGUGAUUGCAUUUAUUUUUCUUGUUUCUCAUUUCUAGAAUGCAAGGGCUCUCUAGCUUCAGACAAAUCACAUACAAGAACAAAGUACAACACUGGAGACCUUGAAGGAAAAGGAAAAAAAGAAGAAGAAGAAGAAGAAGAUUGUGUAAAGUAAACCAUCAACAAUGGUUUACAGAUGGACUUUAUCACACUGUUAGAAGCAAAGAUCUUUGCCAUUAUGGAGAUGACUUUUUCAGGGGUAAGUCUUAUUUGAUGAUACUGAAUUUUUUUCCCACUUUUCAAAACAGAGCAGGGCUCUAUUUAUGUAAAACAAUUACAAACAGACUAAAAAUAAAUAAUUUAAUCUUCUAGUUUUUUGUUCUUAUAACAACAAAUAAGGUGUUUGAUCAUCCUGUUCUCUGAGGAAGCAAGGAACCAAAAUAUCUCAGACCUUUG